GGAUUCCCCUAGUAACGGCGAGUGAAGAGGGAGAAGCCCAGCACCGAAGCCUGCGGUAGCUUUACUGCUAGGCAAUGUGGUGUUUGGGUCGGCCCGCGGGAUUGCCACUCCAUUCGAAGUCCAGCAUUGAGUAUGGUACCCUGGAUUUGGCCCAUAGAGGGUGAAAGGCCCGUGCGAAUGGAUGUUUCAGACAUGAAAGGCAGUUCACCAGGUCGGCCUUAGAGUCGGGUUGUUUGAGAAUGCAGCCCAAAGUGGGUGGUAAACUCCAUCCAAGGCUAAAUACUGGCACGAGUCCGAUAGCGAACAAGUACCGUGAGGGAAAGUUGAAAAGUACUCUGAAGAGAGAGUAAACAGUACGUGAAACCGCAUAAAGGUAAACGGGUGGCGUCAAGCUGCAAGCCUGGAGGAUUCAGCUGGUCAUUGUGGAGUGUAUACGUCCUGUGUAUCGCAGUCGGUGGUAGUGAGUAGUCUGCUGGUAAACGGCGGGCCUGGUCGCAAGACCAGGAUGUGCGUUCCACGUGUUCGGUGGUGUACGCUGCUCAACUAUUGGACUGGAUGGCCAGUGCACUUCCUCCAUUAAGGUGAACACCACGACCGGUGGUACUGCCAGUCUGGUGUAGCCAAGUUGUGUCUAUUUGGGCAUUCGUGUUCAUUAGGUGCAAUCACAGGCAGAUUCGGUGGACGGUGAGUAGACUUCGGUUUGCUCAUGUUAUCGGCCACUGGCUGUCARCGGGUCUGUCCAYUGGGGUUGCAGUCCUCGGUGGGUGGCCUGGUGGGCUACACUGGUAAGAAUAACUGUGCAGGGCACCGGAGUGAUCGGUCUCUAAUCCGGUUGGCGCACGCGCUGCAAGUGUGUGURGAGGUGCCAUUGCGGCCUGUCGUUGGUUGGGUCUGAUUGCCGUGUCGCCUGCGAAAAGUAGGUCCGGUAGUGGCUCGGCUACGGUCGGUGCAUGUAGUGGUAUUUCUYUGUCAGUCGGUGUGGACCUAACAGUCUGUGGUGUAGUGGUAGACGAGCUACCCGACCCGUCUUGAAACACGGACCAAGGAGUUU
RNAcentral lists this ribosomal RNA (1051 nucleotides) under Tentacularia coryphaenae. RNAcentral describes it as "eukaryotic LSU rRNA". It matches the Rfam family "Eukaryotic large subunit ribosomal RNA", at positions 72 to 676 of the family's 3401-position model. Lineage: Eukaryota; Metazoa; Platyhelminthes; Cestoda; Trypanorhyncha; Tentaculariidae. The record is from RNAcentral.